This 672-nucleotide ribosomal RNA is filed under the name uncultured bacterium. RNAcentral describes it as "bacterial SSU rRNA". It matches the Rfam family "Bacterial small subunit ribosomal RNA", at positions 104 to 792 of the family's 1533-position model. The record is from RNAcentral.
GGGUGAGUAACGCGUGAGUAACCUGCCCUGGAGUGGGGGACAACAGUUGGAAACGACUGCUAAUACCGCAUAAGCCCACGGCCCGGCAUCGGGCUGCGGGAAAAGGAUUUAUUCGCUUCAGGAUGGGCUCGCGUCCAAUUAGCUAGUUGGUGAGGUAACGGCCCACCAAGGCGACGAUUGGUAGCCGGACUGAGAGGUUGAACGGCCACAUUGGGACUGAGACACGGCCCAGACUCCUACGGGAGGCAGCAGUGGGGGAUAUUGCACAAUGGGGGAAACCCUGAUGCAGCGACGCCGCGUGGAGGAAGAAGGCUUUCGGAUUGUAAACUCCUGUCGUUAGGGACGAUAAUGACGGUACCUAACAAGAAAGAACCGGCUAACUACGUGCCAGCAGCCGCGGUAAAACGUAGGGUGCAAGCGUUGUCCGGAAUUACUGGGUGUAAAGGGAGCGCAGGCGGACCGGCAAGUUGGAAGUGAAAACCAUGGGCUCAACCCAUGAAUUGCUUUCAAAACUGCUGGCCUUGAGUAGUGCAGAGGUAGGUGGAAUUCCCGGUGUAGCGGUGGAAUGCGUAGAUAUCGGGAGGAACACCAGUGGCGAAGGCGACCUACUGGGCACCAACUGACGCUGAGGCUCGAAAGCAUGGGUAGCAAACAGGAUUAGAUACCCUGGUU